Molecule: ribosomal RNA, 460 nt
Filed under: uncultured bacterium
Lineage: Bacteria
Description: partial 16S ribosomal RNA
Rfam family: Bacterial small subunit ribosomal RNA
Source: RNAcentral
CCUACGGGAGGCAGCAGUGAGGAAUAUUGGUCAAUGGGCGUAAGCCUGAACCAGCCAAGUCGCGUGAGGGAUGAAGGUUCUAUGGAUCGUAAACCUCUUUUAUAAGGGAAUAAAGUGUGGGACGAGUCCUAUGUUGUAUGUACCUUAUGAAUAAGGAUCGGCUAACUCCGUGCCAGCAGCCGCGGUAAUACGGAGGAUCCGAGCGUUAUCCGGAUUUAUUGGGUUUAAAGGGUGCGUAGGCGGCCUUUUAAGUCAGCGGUGAAAGGCUGUGGCUCAACCAUCGAAGUGCCGUUGAAACUGGGGGGCUUGAGUAUGUUUGAGGUAGGCGGAAUGCGUGGGGUAGCGGUGAAAUGCUUAGAUAUCACGCAGAACCCCGAUUGCGAAGGCAGCCUGCCAAGCCCUGACUGACACUGAUGCACGAAAGCGUGGGGAUCAAACAGGAUUAGAUACCCGAGUAGUC